GACGGGGACCCGCACAAGCGGUGGAUGAUGUGGAUUAAUUCGAUGCAACGCGAAAACCUUACCUACCCUUGACAUGUCUGGAACCUUGGUGAGAGCCGAGGGUGCCUUCGGGAGCCAGAACACAGGUGCUGCAUGGCUGUCGUCAGCUCGUGUCGUGAGAUGUUGGGUUAAGUCCCGCAACGAGCGCAACCCUUGUCACUAGUUGCCAUCAUUUAGUUGGGCACUCUAGUGAGACUGCCGGUGACAAACCGGAGGAAGGUGGGGAUGACGUCAAGUCCUCAUGGCCCUUAUGGGUAGGGCUUCACACGUCAUACAAUGGUCGGUACAGAGGGUUGCCAAGCCGCGAGGUGGAGCCAAUCCCUUAAAGCCGAUCGUAGUCCGGAUCGUAGUCUGCAACUCGACUGCAUGAAGUCGGAAUCGCUAGUAAUCGCGGAUCAGCAUGUCGCGGUGAAUACGUUCCCGGGCCUU
RNAcentral lists this ribosomal RNA (468 nucleotides) under uncultured Thauera sp. RNAcentral's name for it is "bacterial SSU rRNA". It matches the Rfam family "Bacterial small subunit ribosomal RNA", at positions 912 to 1382 of the family's 1533-position model. The record is from RNAcentral. Lineage: Bacteria; Pseudomonadati; Pseudomonadota; Betaproteobacteria; Rhodocyclales; Zoogloeaceae.